Molecule: long non-coding RNA, 1002 nt
Organism: Amphiprion ocellaris (clown anemonefish)
Lineage: Eukaryota; Metazoa; Chordata; Actinopteri; Pomacentridae
Source: Ensembl
UAAAGACUCACUACAGCCAAGAUAAAGACACAACUCAGCUGUACCAAAUCCACUAAUCACUGCACACAUUAGCACCAUGUGCUAACUGUGGCUAAAGAACCACAUUUACCAAGACAACUAUCCAGUACAAAGCCCUAAAACACACCAAGAAACACAUUAAAGACAAUUUUACUGCUGGAAGCUGCAAGCCAACACCUAAAGAACAAACUAAAGCAAUGGAGCCAAACCCGGUUCAGUGGUGAACAGAAACAGAGGAAAUGUUUGUCUGCUGCCAGAUAAAGCAGGAAGACACUGAGCUGCUCAGGUGUUCCUGAUAACACCAAGCAGCCACCUGGACAGCCAAUAGGAACACAGCUUCCUGGAAGUCCAGAGGGCUGGGUUAGUCAAGGAAAUUUAAAGUUGAGGCAGAAAGUUAACAAAGAAAGUUGAAAACCACCUUCUGAUCCCUGAAAUCUCUGAGUUUUCACACAAAGAACACCUGAACAUGUCAAACUGGUUCCAUAGUAGAACCAUCAUUGUAAAAACGUCAUAGUAUGGUAUGUUGCUCAAAAAACAUUAGGACCCGCUGUCUAGGGUCGCUGAUGAGCAACACAAAAACAGGACAAAUGCUGGUUUCCAGGGGGUUAGGAGGCUAUUUAUUUGAAAGAGGAAGUUUACAACAACACAACACGAGAGCAGAAAAAUCACAAAGUCUGUCUUUAGUUCAGCUGAAAAUAUUAGUUUUUGUCUUUUUUAUUGACCAAACUUUUCAGGAAGUAGAUGAAGAAUAAUUAAAGCUCUCAUGUAGAAGUCCAACUUAUUUUGGAUCCUUGUGGAGAGUUUAAUCUUAGAGUUUGUAAAGGUGUUGAGUUUUUAGAGUCACAUGGAUUGUUUUGAAAUUUAAUAACUGAGUCCUGAAAUAAAAUGACAGUUGUGGAUUUCUGUCAUUUAGUCUGUCAUUUAGGUUUUCUUUGAAGAAAAAAUCAUCAUGAAUUUUGGCGCAAAAAAACGCCAUAGUAUACU